UUGGAACAGAGUGUCAUAGAGGGUGAGAGUCCCGUAUGUGACCGUAGGCUCCAUGUGUAGCUCCUUCAAAGAGUCGAGUUGUUUGGGAAUGCAGCUCAAAAUGGGUGGUAAAUUUCAUCUAAAGCUAAAUAUUGGCUGGAGACCGAUAGCGCACAAGUAGAGUGAUCGAAAGAUGAAAAGCACUUUGGAAAGAGAGUUAAACAGUACGUGAAAUUGUUGAAGGGGAAACGCUUGUAGUCAGACUUGCGCGUGGUUGAUCAACCGGGUGCACUCUGCCACGAUCAGGCCAGCAUGGGUUUUGGCGGUCAGAUAAAGACUCAGGGAAUGUAGCUCUCUUCGGGGAGUGUUAUAGCCCUGGGUGUAAUAUGGCCAGCUGGGACCGAGGACCGCGCUUCGGCUAGGAUGCUGGCGUAAUGGCUAUAAGCGACUCGUCUUGAAACACGAACCAAGGAGUCUUGUUUGAGCGAGCGUUUGGGUGUUAAACCCAUGCGCGUAAUGAAAGUGAACGUAGGUGGGAAUCCGCGCACCAUCGACCGAUCUUGAAGUUUACGGAUGGAUUUGAGUGAGAGUUAUCAGGGACCCGAAAGAAAGUGAGCUAUGCCUAGGUAGGGUGAAGCCAAAGGAAACUUUGGUGGAAGCCCGCAGCGAUUCUGACGUGCAAAUCGAUCGUCAAACCAGGGUAUAGGGGCGAAAGACUUAUCGAACUUUCUAGUAGCUGGUUCCCGCCGAAGUUUCCCUCAGGAUUGGAUGAAUGUU
RNAcentral lists this ribosomal RNA (756 nucleotides) under Vezdaea leprosa. RNAcentral describes it as "eukaryotic LSU rRNA". It matches the Rfam family "Eukaryotic large subunit ribosomal RNA", at positions 190 to 991 of the family's 3401-position model. The record is from RNAcentral. Lineage: Eukaryota; Fungi; Ascomycota; Vezdaeales; Vezdaeaceae.